UACCAUGCAGUCGACGGUAACAGGAAGCAGCUUGCUGCUUCGCUGACGAGUGGCGGACGGGUGAGUAAUGUCUGGGAAACUGCCUGAUGGAGGGGGAUAACUACUGGAAACGGUGGCUAAUACCGCAUAACGUCGCAAGACCAAAGAGGGGGACCUUCGGGCCUCUUGCCAUCAGAUGUGCCCAGAUGGGAUUAGCUGGUAGGUGGGGUAACGGCUCACCUAGGCGACGAUCCCUAGCUGGUCUGAGAGGAUGACCAGCCACACUGGAACUGAGACACGGUCCAGACUCCUACGGGAGGCAGCAGUGGGGAAUAUUGCACAAUGGGCGCAAGCCUGAUGCAGCCAUGCCGCGUGUAUGAAGAAGGCCUUCGGGUUGUAAAGUACUUUCAGCGGGGAGGAAGGUGUUGUGGUUAAUAACCGCAGCAAUUGACGUUACCCGCAGAAGAAGCACCGGCUAACUCCGUGCCAGCCGCCCGGGGUAAUACA
This 486-nucleotide ribosomal RNA is filed under the name Salmonella sp. RNAcentral describes it as "bacterial SSU rRNA". It matches the Rfam family "Bacterial small subunit ribosomal RNA", at positions 52 to 527 of the family's 1533-position model. Lineage: Bacteria; Pseudomonadati; Pseudomonadota; Gammaproteobacteria; Enterobacterales; Enterobacteriaceae. The record is from RNAcentral.